AACGAACGCUGGCGGCGUGCUUAACACAUGCAAGUCGAACGCGAAAGCUUCUUUCGGGAAGCGAGUAGAGUGGCGCACGGGUGAGUAACGCGUAAGUAAUCUACCCCUGUAUCUGGAAUAACCUACCGAAAGGUGAGCUAAUACCGGAUACGUUUGAGAUGAUGCGAAUGAUUUCACAGAAAGGAGGCCUCUGCAUAUGCUUCCGUACAGGGAUGAGCUUGCGUACCAUUAGCUAGUUGGCAGGGUAAUGGCCUACCAAGGCGACGAUGGUUAGCGGGUCUGAGAGGAUGAUCCGCCACACUGGAACUGGAACACGGACCAGACUCCUACGGGAGGCAG
Molecule: ribosomal RNA, 339 nt
Filed under: uncultured Pseudomonadota bacterium
Lineage: Bacteria; Pseudomonadati; Pseudomonadota
Description: bacterial SSU rRNA
Rfam family: Bacterial small subunit ribosomal RNA
Source: RNAcentral